Molecule: ribosomal RNA, 461 nt
Filed under: uncultured bacterium
Lineage: Bacteria
Description: bacterial SSU rRNA
Rfam family: Bacterial small subunit ribosomal RNA
Source: RNAcentral
GAUGAACGCUGGCGGCGUGCCUAACACAUGCAAGUCGAACGAAGCUUGACGGAUGAUUUCUUCGGAAUGAAACCUGAUAUGACUUAGUGGCGGACGGGUGAGUAACACGUGAGCAACCUGCCUUUCAGAGGGGGAUAACGGCUGGAAACGGUCGCUAAUACCGCAUGAUGUGUUCGGAUGGCAUCAUCUGAACAUCAAAGAUUUAUCGCUGAAAGAUGGGCUCGCGUCUGAUUAGAUAGUUGGUGGGGUAACGGCCUACCAAGUCGACGAUCAGUAGCCGGACUGAGAGGUUGAACGGCCACAUUGGGACUGAGACACGGCCCAAAAUCCUACGGGAGCAGCAGUGGGGAAUAUUGCACAAUGGGGGAAACCCUGAUGCAGCGACGCCGCGUGAGUGAUGAAGUAUUUCGGUAUGUAAAACUCUAUCAGCAGGGANAUAAUGACGGUACCUGACUAAGAAG